This 1892-nucleotide ribosomal RNA is filed under the name Escherichia coli. RNAcentral's name for it is "partial 23S ribosomal RNA". It matches the Rfam family "Bacterial large subunit ribosomal RNA", at positions 1054 to 2925 of the family's 2925-position model. The record is from RNAcentral. RNAcentral also lists the same sequence under 3 other names. Lineage: Bacteria; Pseudomonadati; Pseudomonadota; Gammaproteobacteria; Enterobacterales; Enterobacteriaceae.
CAUGGUUAAGUGGGAAACGAUGUGGGAAGGCCCAGACAGCCAGGAUGUUGGCUUAGAAGCAGCCAUCAUUUAAAGAAAGCGUAAUAGCUCACUGGUCGAGUCGGCCUGCGCGGAAGAUGUAACGGGGCUAAACCAUGCACCGAAGCUGCGGCAGCGACGCUUAUGCGUUGUUGGGUAGGGGAGCGUUCUGUAAGCCUGUGAAGGUGUGCUGUGAGGUAUGCUGGAGGUAUCAGAAGUGCGAAUGCUGACAUAAGUAACGAUAAAGCGGGUGAAAAGCCCGCUCGCCGGAAGACCAAGGGUUCCUGUCCAACGUUAAUCGGGGCAGGGUGAGUCGACCCCUAAGGCGAGGCCGAAAGGCGUAGUCGAUGGGAAACAGGUUAAUAUUCCUGUACUUGGUGUUACUGCGAAGGGGGGACGGAGAAGGCUAUGUUGGCCGGGCGACGGUUGUCCCGGUUUAAGCGUGUAGGCUGGUUUUCCAGGCAAAUCCGGAAAAUCAAGGCCGAGGCGUGAUGACGAGGCACUACGGUGCUGAAGCAACAAAUGCCCUGCUUCCAGGAAAAGCCUCUAAGCAUCAGGUAACAUCAAAUCGUACCCCAAACCGACACAGGUGGUCAGGUAGAGAAUACCAAGGCGCUUGAGAGAACUCGGGUGAAGGAACUAGGCAAAAUGGUGCCGUAACUUCGGGAGAAGGCACGCUGAUACGUAGGUGAAGCGACUUGCUCGUGGAGCUGAAAUCAGUCGAAGAUACCAGCUGGCUGCAACUGUUUAUUAAAAACACAGCACUGUGCAAACACGAAAGUGGACGUAUACGGUGUGACGCCUGCCCGGUGCCGGAAGGUUAAUUGAUGGGGUUAGCGCAAGCGAAGCUCUUGAUCGAAGCCCCGGUAAACGGCGGCCGUAACUAUAACGGUCCUAAGGUAGCGAAAUUCCUUGUCGGGUAAGUUCCGACCUGCACGAAUGGCGUAAUGAUGGCCAGGCUGUCUCCACCCGAGACUCAGUGAAAUUGAACUCGCUGUGAAGAUGCAGUGUACCCGCGGCAAGACGGAAAGACCCCGUGAACCUUUACUAUAGCUUGACACUGAACAUUGAGCCUUGAUGUGUAGGAUAGGUGGGAGGCUUUGAAGUGUGGACGCCAGUCUGCAUGGAGCCGACCUUGAAAUACCACCCUUUAAUGUUUGAUGUUCUAACGUGGACCCGUGAUCCGGGUUGCGGACAGUGUCUGGUGGGUAGUUUGACUGGGGCGGUCUCCUCCUAAAGAGUAACGGAGGAGCACGAAGGUUGGCUAAUCCUGGUCGGACAUCAGGAGGUUAGUGCAAUGGCAUAAGCCAGCUUGACUGCGAGCGUGACGGCGCGAGCAGGUGCGAAAGCAGGUCAUAGUGAUCCGGUGGUUCUGAAUGGAAGGGCCAUCGCUCAACGGAUAAAAGGUACUCCGGGGAUAACAGGCUGAUACCGCCCAAGAGUUCAUAUCGACGGCGGUGUUUGGCACCUCGAUGUCGGCUCAUCACAUCCUGGGGCUGAAGUAGGUCCCAAGGGUAUGGCUGUUCGCCAUUUAAAGUGGUACGCGAGCUGGGUUUAGAACGUCGUGAGACAGUUCGGUCCCUAUCUGCCGUGGGCGCUGGAGAACUGAGGGGGGCUGCUCCUAGUACGAGAGGACCGGAGUGGACGCAUCACUGGUGUUCGGGUUGUCAUGCCAAUGGCACUGCCCGGUAGCUAAAUGCGGAAGAGAUAAGUGCUGAAAGCAUCUAAGCACGAAACUUGCCCCGAGAUGAGUUCUCCCUGACCCUUUAAGGGUCCUGAAGGAACGUUGAAGACGACGACGUUGAUAGGCCGGGUGUGUAAGCGCAGCGAUGCGUUGAGCUAACCGGUACUAAUGAACCGUGAGGCUUAACCUU